This 452-nucleotide ribosomal RNA is filed under the name uncultured bacterium. RNAcentral's name for it is "bacterial SSU rRNA". It matches the Rfam family "Bacterial small subunit ribosomal RNA", at positions 8 to 507 of the family's 1533-position model. The record is from RNAcentral.
AGAGUUUGAUCAUGGCUCAGAACGAACGCUGGCGGCAUGCCUAACACAUGCAAGUCGAACGAAGCCUUCGGGCUUAGUGGCGCACGGGUGCGUAACGCGUGGGAAUCUGCCCUUGGGUUCGGAAUAACAGUUAGAAAUGACUGCUAAUACCGGAUGAUGUCUUCGGACCAAAGAUUUAUCGCCCAAGGAUGAGCCCGCGUAGGAUUAGGUAGUUGGUGGGGUAAUGGCCCACCAAACCGACGAUCCUUAGCUGGUCUGAGAGGAUGAUCAGCCACACUGGGACUGAGACACGGCCCAGACUCCUACGGGAGGCAGCAGUGGGGAAUAUUGGACAAUGGGCGAAAGCCUGAUCCAGCAAUGCCGCGUGAGUGAUGAAGGCCUUAGGGUUGUAAAGCUCUUUACCAGGGAUGAUAAUGACAGUACCUGGAGAAUAAGCUCCGGCUAACUCCGUG